Molecule: long non-coding RNA, 374 nt
Organism: Rhea pennata
Lineage: Eukaryota; Metazoa; Chordata; Aves; Rheiformes; Rheidae
Exons: 2
Source: RefSeq, a predicted model, not a curated record
GGUUAGAGCAGGUGUCACCCCAACGGACCGCGGUCCAAGCGGGCGGCGGUAGUGCAGUGUGUGCGGGGGGCAAGCGCAAACGCCCAAGCGAGAUUACCUGGAAAGGAGGGUGAGGAAAGCAAAGAAAACGAUGAGCAUAAGCAACUGGAAGAUGAGCUCUUCCCCCUGAAUAAUCCAGUGGUCAAAGCAAGCACGAAGUAUUUGAGAAAGUUUGCUUCAGUUCUUCCCACUAGCAGAAGAGACUGGAAUCUGUAGCUCCCACUUCUUACACUUUUCAGCAGGCUAAAGGAUAUAUAUGGGUGGGGUAGAGAUCUUUUAAUUAUUUUUGCUGAUUGUAUAUUUUGUAUAAUUAAUAAAAUAUUCUCUGUUUUAAA